CCUACGGGAGGCAGCAGUGGGGAAUAUUGGACAAUGGGGGCAACCCUGAUCCAGCCAUGCCGCGUGUGUGAAGAAGGCCCUCGGGUUGUAAAGCACUUUCAGUGAGGAAGAACGCCUGGUGGUUAAUACCCAUCAGGAAAGACAUCACUCACAGAAGAAGCACCGGCUAACUCCGUGCCAGCAGCCGCGGUAAUACGGAGGGUGCGAGCGUUAAUCGGCAUUACUGGGCGUAAAGCGCGCGUAGGUGGCUUGAUAAGCCGGUUGUGAAAGCCCCGGGCUCAACCUGGGAACGGCAUCCGGAACUGUCAAGCUAGAGUGCAGGAGAGGAAGGUAGAAUUCCCGGUGUAGCGGUGAAAUGCGUAGAGAUCGGGAGGAAUACCAGUGGCGAAGGCGGCCUUCUGGACUGACACUGACACUGAGGUGCGAAAGCGUGGGUAGCAAACAGGAUUAGAUACCCGUGUAGUC
This 465-nucleotide ribosomal RNA is filed under the name Vreelandella stevensii. RNAcentral describes it as "partial 16S ribosomal RNA". It matches the Rfam family "Bacterial small subunit ribosomal RNA", at positions 338 to 795 of the family's 1533-position model. The record is from RNAcentral. Lineage: Bacteria; Pseudomonadati; Pseudomonadota; Gammaproteobacteria; Oceanospirillales; Halomonadaceae.